This 261-nucleotide long non-coding RNA is filed under the name Fragaria vesca (wild strawberry). Its description in RNAcentral is "long non-coding RNA (FVES_LNC001247)". Lineage: Eukaryota; Viridiplantae; Streptophyta; Magnoliopsida; Rosales; Rosaceae. The record is from RNAcentral.
AACAACACCAAGUACCCGCUCGUCGUUAAAGGCACGACGGACAAGAACGGCUACUUCUUCAUCUCAGCUCCCAAGACCAUCACCACUUUCGGUGCACACAAAUGCAAGGCCUUCCUUGUCUCCGCUCCCACCACCGCGUGUUCCAAGAUCAGCGACUUCCACGGCGGUCUCACCGGCGCCGUUCUAAGGCCAACAAAGCCAUUCGUGUCCGAGAAGAAGCUCCCCUUCCUUCUCUACACCGUCGGUCCUUUCGCCUUCGAG